GGCGGCAGGCCUAACACAUGCAAGUCGAGCGGUAGCACAGAGAGCUUGCUCUCGGGUGACGAGCGGCGGACGGGUGAGUAAUGUCUGGGAAACUGCCUGAUGGAGGGGGAUAACUACUGGAAACGGUAGCUAAUACCGCAUAAUGUCGCAAGACCAAAGUGGGGGACCUUCGGGCCUCAUGCCAUCAGAUGUGCCCAGAUGGGAUUAGCUAGUAGGUGGGGUAACGGCUCACCUAGGCGACGAUCCCUAGCUGGUCUGAGAGGAUGACCAGCCACACUGGAACUGAGACACGGUCCAGACUCCUACGGGAGGCAGCAGUGGGGAAUAUUGCACAAUGGGCGCAAGCCUGAUGCAGCCAUGCCGCGUGUGUGAAGAAGGCCUUCGGGUUGUAAAGCACUUUCAGCGGGGAGGAAGGCGGUGAGGUUAAUAACCUCAUCGAUUGACGUUACCCGCAGAAGAAGCACCGGCUAACUCCGUGCCAGCAGCCGCGGUAAUACGGAGGGUGCAAGCGUUAAUCGGAAUUACUGGGCGUAAAGCGCACGCAGGCGGUCUGUCAAGUCGGAUGUGAAAUCCCCGGGCUUAACCUGGGAACUGCAUUCGAAACUGGCAGGCUAGAGUCUUGUAGAGGGGGGUAGAAUUCCAGGUGUAGCGGUGAAAUGCGUAGAGAUCUGGAGGAAUACCGGUGGCGAAGGCGGCCCCCUGGACAAAGACUGACGCUCAGGUGCGAAAGCGUGGGGAGCAAACAGGAUUAGAUACCCUGGUAGUCCACGCCGUAAACGAUGUCGAUUUGGAGGUUGUGCCCUUGAGGCGUGGCUUCCGGAGCUAACGCGUUAAAUCGACCGCCUGGGGAGUACGGCCGCAAGGUUAAAACUCAAAUGAAUUGACGGGGGCCCGCACAAGCGGUGGAGCAUGUGGUUUAAUUCGAUGCAACGCGAAGAACCUUACCUGGUCUUGACAUCCACAGAACUUUCCAGAGAUGGAUUGGUGCCUUCGGGAACUGUGAGACAGGUGCUGCAUGGCUGUCGUCAGCUCGUGUUGUGAAAUGUUGGGUUAAGUCCCGCAACGAGCGCAACCCUUAUCCUUUGUUGCCAGCGGUUAGGCCGGGAACUCAAAGGAGACUGCCAGUGAUAAACUGGAGGAAGGUGGGGAUGACGUCAAGUCAUCAUGGCCCUUACGACCAGGGCUACACACGUGCUACAAUGGCAUAUACAAAGAGAAGCGACCUCGCGAGAGCAAGCGGACCUCAUAAAGUAUGUCGUAGUCCGGAUUGGAGUCUGCAACUCGACUCCAUGAAGUCGGAAUCGCUAGUAAUCGUAGAUCAGAAUGCUACGGUGAAUACGUUCCCGGGCCUUGUACACACCGCCCGUCACACCAUGGGAGUGGGUUGCAAAAGAAGUAGGUAGCUUAACCUUCGGGAGGGCGCUUACCACUUUGUGAUUCAUGACUGGGGUG
RNAcentral lists this ribosomal RNA (1452 nucleotides) under uncultured organism. RNAcentral's name for it is "SSU rRNA". It matches the Rfam family "Bacterial small subunit ribosomal RNA". The record is from RNAcentral.